CCCUGGUUAGCUCAGUUGGCAGAACGCGUCACCUGUAAUGGAGAGGUCCCGGGUUCAAUACCCGGACUAGGCG
This 73-nucleotide transfer RNA is filed under the name Ixodes scapularis (black-legged tick). It matches the Rfam family "tRNA". From Rfam's summary of the family: Transfer RNA (tRNA) molecules are approximately 80 nucleotides in length. Their secondary structure includes four short double-helical elements and three loops (D, anti-codon, and T loops). Lineage: Eukaryota; Metazoa; Arthropoda; Arachnida; Ixodida; Ixodidae. The record is from Rfam by way of RNAcentral.